RNAcentral lists this ribosomal RNA (485 nucleotides) under uncultured bacterium. RNAcentral describes it as "partial 16S ribosomal RNA". It matches the Rfam family "Bacterial small subunit ribosomal RNA", at positions 29 to 523 of the family's 1533-position model. The record is from RNAcentral.
AGUGAACGCUGGCGGCGUGCUUAACACAUGCAAGUCGAACGAGAACGGAAUAUAGCUUGCUAUAUUUGUCAGCUAAGUGGCGCACGGGUGAGUAAUGUAUAGAUAACCUGCCCUUAAGAAAGGAAUAACAGUUGGAAACGACUGCUAAUGCCCUAUAUGCCUUUAAUACAUAAGUAUGCAAGGGAAACGCUUUAGUGCUUAAGGAUGGGUCUGUAUGGUAUCAGCUUGUUGGUGAGGUAAUGGCUCACCAAGGCUAUGACGCCUAACUGGUUUGGGAGGAUGAUGAGUCACACUGGAAAUGGGACACGGUCCAGACUCCAAGGGGGGGAAGCAGUGGGAAAUAUUGAACAAUGGACGAAAGUGUGAUGCAGCAACGCCGCGUGGAGGAUAACACAUUUCGGUGCGUAAACUCCUUUUAUAUAGGAAGAUAAUGACGUUACUAUAUGAAUAAGCACCGGCUAACCCCGUGCCAGCCGCCGCGGUAA